GAGUCCUUCUGCAGGAGUAUCUGGAGGCUGGAGCCGACAUCAUUGAGACCAACACCUUCAGCAGCACCAGCAUCGCUCAGGCCGACUAUGGCAUGGAGGACCUGGCGUAUCGGCUGAAUAAAGCAUCUGCAGAACUGGCCCGGAGAGCUGCGGAUGAUGUCUCUGCACAGACAGGUUGUAAGCGGUUUGUAGCAGGAGCCGUGGGUCCCACCAAUAAAACGCUGUCAGUGUCUCCAUCGGUGGAGAGACCUGACUACAGGA
Long non-coding RNA from Sinocyclocheilus anshuiensis, 261 nucleotides. RefSeq lists it as uncharacterized. Lineage: Eukaryota; Metazoa; Chordata; Actinopteri; Cypriniformes; Cyprinidae. The transcript has 3 exons. The record is from RefSeq and is a predicted model, not a curated record.